Molecule: ribosomal RNA, 305 nt
Filed under: uncultured bacterium
Lineage: Bacteria
Description: bacterial SSU rRNA
Rfam family: Bacterial small subunit ribosomal RNA
Source: RNAcentral
GCCUACGGGAGGCAGCAGUGAGGAAUAUUGGUCAAUGGCCGGAAGGCUGAACCAGCCAAGCCGCGUGAAGGACGAAGGUGCCAAGCAUUGUAAACUUCUUUUGUCAAGGGACAAAAUCAGGCUCGAGAGCCUGACCGAGGGUACUUGAAGAAAAAGCAUCGGCUAACUACGUGCCAGCAGCCGCGGUAAUACGUAGGGAGCAAGCGUUAUCCGGAUUUAUUGGGUGUAAAGGGUGCGUAGACGGGAAAACAAGUUAGUUGUGAAAUCCCUCAGCUUAACUGAGGAACUGCAACUAAAACUAUUUU